RNAcentral lists this ribosomal RNA (220 nucleotides) under Bacteroides caecigallinarum. RNAcentral's name for it is "partial 23S ribosomal RNA". It matches the Rfam family "Bacterial large subunit ribosomal RNA", at positions 2121 to 2351 of the family's 2925-position model. The record is from RNAcentral. Lineage: Bacteria; Pseudomonadati; Bacteroidota; Bacteroidia; Bacteroidales; Bacteroidaceae.
AUUUGGGCACGCGAUGUGUAGGAUAGGUCGGAGGCUUUGAAGCAGGUACGCCAGUAUUUGUGGAGCCGCUGUUGAAAUACGACCCUUCGUUUGUUUGAGUUCUAACUUCUGAUUGAAGGACAUUGCUUGGUGGGUAGUUUGACUGGGGUGGUCGCCUCCAAAAGCGUAACGGAGGCUUCUAAAGGUACCCUCAGGCCGAUCGGUAACCGGCCCAAGAGUG